GGCAUGAAGGAUAGGGGCUCUGUAAUCCCAGUAAAAUUUUCAGCUCGUCUUUGUCCUGUCUUUUUCCGCUCAUCUCCCACCCAUUUGCGGCAGAUGGCCACCCGUCCAUGAGCCUGGUUCUGCAGGACAUUUCUUCAUGUUAAAAGAAAUAGUACAGACAGGCUUUUGAGUCAUGUUCUCACACUUUGUGCUUCAGCCAGACUCACACAGCAUUCAGGAGAGCUGCUCCCAGACUCAGGCGCCUCAGUAAAAUCAUCAGUCAUGUUCAGCUCUGCUCUGCCUGGUCUUGACAGCGAGAGGGACACAGAUUUGCAGCAUUACCUUAUCGUAGUCGGACUAUAUCUGCUUUAAAAAUGAAGGCCUGUCAGGAAGAAAAAUACGCUGAGCAUUUUUAAAUUUUGUCAUUUCCCAGGACAAAAUGUGUACUUUCAAGGCUUUGAUACAUUAGGGACCUUCGACUGCAUGUUCUUCUCGGUCAGCUGUAAUUGUAAUUUGGC
Long non-coding RNA from Oreochromis aureus, 497 nucleotides. The record is from Ensembl. Lineage: Eukaryota; Metazoa; Chordata; Actinopteri; Cichliformes; Cichlidae.